UCUGGUGAUUUGAGCGUUUUGGAACCACCUCUUCUCAUUCCGAACAGAGUCGUGAAACGAAACAGCGCUGACGAUACUCUUAUUGGGGGACAAUAAGUCGUUGCCAGGG
Molecule: ribosomal RNA, 109 nt
Filed under: Candidatus Roizmanbacteria bacterium RIFCSPHIGHO2_01_FULL_39_12b
Lineage: Bacteria; Candidatus Roizmaniibacteriota
Also listed under: 1 other name
Source: RNAcentral